CCCCUCGGUGCCGAAGUUAACACAUUAAGCACUCCGCCUGGGGAGUACGGUCGCAAGACUGAAACUCAAAGGAAUUGACGGGGACCCGCACAAGCAGUGGAGUAUGUGGUUUAAUUCGAAGCAACGCGAAGAACCUUACCAGGUCUUGACAUCCCUUUGACCGGUGCAGAGAUGUACCUUCCCUUCGGGGCAGAGGAGACAGGUGGUGCAUGGUUGUCGUCAGCUCGUGUCGUGAGAUGUUGGGUUAAGUCCCGCAACGAGCGCAACCCUUGAACUUAGUUGCCAGCACUUCGGGUGGGCACUCUAGGUUGACUGCCGGNGACAAACCGGAGGAAGGCGGGGAUGACGUCAAAUCAUCAUGCCCCUUAUGACCUGGGCUACACACGUACUACAAUGGCCGGUACAACGG
Molecule: ribosomal RNA, 409 nt
Filed under: Cohnella sp. DJM4H6
Lineage: Bacteria; Bacillati; Bacillota; Bacilli; Caryophanales; Paenibacillaceae
Description: bacterial SSU rRNA
Rfam family: Bacterial small subunit ribosomal RNA
Source: RNAcentral